Molecule: long non-coding RNA, 2117 nt
Organism: Diachasmimorpha longicaudata
Lineage: Eukaryota; Metazoa; Arthropoda; Insecta; Hymenoptera; Braconidae
Exons: 4
Source: RefSeq, a predicted model, not a curated record
CGCAGGGACAACACAAAACAGAAUUUAUGAUAUUCUUCGAAUCAUGAAUUUUUGUGGGGCUUUUGCACGCCAGGAUAGCAGUGAUCAGUGAUUAGUGAACAGUGAUGUGUCAAGUGAGAUCUAGACAACAACUACGUGACAGAAUCAUCGACCUGGUGGACACCCAAGGAUAAAUGUGGCGCUGAAGCGUAAAAAAGGCGAAAACGAAAGCAGUUGUUUUCGGCCAACGCCGUGUCACUUUCUAACAGUACGUCGUGUAAGUACACGGGAUUGAACGUACAAAGAGAGGGGGGAAAAAAGAAGGAAAAUAAUGAAUUGGUCGUAGACAGGAUGUCUCCCCACGGAUAACACAGCCAUGUGCUUGUAGACGUUGGGAAGUUGUUCCAGCCUGACCUCUCGCGACCUCCAGACGCAGAAUGGCGACGCCGAUGACGUCAAAGGCCGCGUACACACUUGUUCCGCUAGGUGUAUUGGUUUAGUGCAACGAACAUUGAGGAGAGGGGAAAAAGGGAUUCGUGAAUCAACGCUGCACAGCCUGCAGAAGUAAAACGGAGUCGGAAAACCUUGUAAACAGUGAAAGAAACGAUGACACGAAACGAUGACUGAGACACUCGCAAAUGUUGGAGAUGUUGGAGAUGGACAAAGUGGGCCAGAGGCCCUAUAGGGCCUCACCCACCACCCGAGUGAAAAACCCCCGAACUCCCGGGAAGAAGUCAACUCCCCCGACCCCGAGUCCGGCGAGCAUCAUCAAGACGGGAAGUUUAUAUAGCAUUCCACAUUUCUUGUGACGUCAAAGGAAAUCGUUGGAUAGGAUUUUGGAUGAGGUAGGAAGGGGAACAGGAUAAUUCUCCAUAUAAUUUUUGCAAGAAAAAUUACUGAAAAAUGGAUAGUCCAGACCGGGAUUUGAACCCGGGACCUUCCGAUUAUGCAUCGGGUGCUCUUCCAACUGAGCUAUCCGGCUCCUAGCCAUUUCUUCUAUUCACCCCCCCCCCUCCACUAUAGUGGAGGUGCUGAGAAGGGGGCCCAACAGGACAUGGUGCAGAAGACUAGUGGAGAUAGAAAGGAUCCUGACGCAGAUAGAAGACGAGAGGAGAGAGGGACGAGAGGAGUUGAGGGCAAAUCAGGGAUUAGACUGAAUAAUUACAAACUCCCAGGAGGAUGGAGAGAGGCAGAGGAGAGAGUGUGAGGAACAACGCGAAACCAAGCCAAUAAAGAAAGGAGGAAAUAAAUAAAUAAACAAAUAAAUAAGCCAAUAGUGUACUACUCAAAUGCCCAGAAUUGCAGCAAAGGGCUCGCACAUAUUAGAAUAGUAGUAAUAAUUUUGAAAAGUUAUUUAUAAUCUAUUACCUAUUUUUCAUAUUUUAAGAGAGGGGAGUAGAAGGAGAAGGUGUAAAACACAGGAUAUAGCACCAAAGAAGAUAAAAUUCUUAUUAUUAUACAUCAGAAGGAACAAUAUUCAAGCAUUCCCUUUUUUUAUUAUUUUUUUUCUUCGCAUAACUCUCUCAUGGCAUGAUCAUACUAAAAUUAAUGGAAUUUUUUUUGACUGAAGAAUACAAAUGUCAAAACCACCCCCAUUCUCAUCUAUAAAUUCUCUCCCCCCUAUCGACAUACAUUAUACUGAGCGCGGUUAUUAUUGCAACAGAGAGUGAAGUUUUUAUCAAAAGCUGUCACACGGUGCAGACAGAGACUAGCCAAUAAAAAAAAAACCACCAGCUAUCCAUUCGAGGUGCUUUCAUGGAAUAAUCGCAACCCCAGACUUGGGGAAAUGAUGAAUAGAGCGCAAGUAAUGACACAAAUUGAUCAUUGAAAUCAAUACCAAUAUGUAAUUCUAUAAAGGGAACUGGGCUUUGAGAUGAUGGUAAUAGUUGGCUAGCAUCCGUUUUGCUCGAUAAUAUAAAAAGAAAUUAUGUAGAAAUGAGACCCAGAUAUUGGGCAAGAGGGAUUUUCUGGUGACACGCGAUUUUCAAAUCUGGGGACUGUCGUUCACAGGAGAGGAACAGUAGUAUGAAUCGAUCAGGCGAAUUGCCGGUAACUGACUUGCACAAAAAAAAUAUCUGUCAGCGACAUAUCCUUGAGAAAUUCUUAGAGGAAUUUUGGAAAAAUUAUUUAGAAGAAGU